GAAAAAGUCGUUACAGACAACCCGUGUUACUAUUGUCGAUUUUUCUUAAACACGUAGUGUUCACUGUGCUGAUUAAGAUUGAGAUCAAAUUACUGAUUGUGGGAAUUGCCGGCGCAAGCCCAAUAGUACAACAGCAAGCAUGCAGAUAUUACUCGCUGGCAUAAAAUCAUCAUGUUAAUGGAGGAGUGAAGGAGGAGAUAAUUUGAGAUCGGCCUAUUAGCAUUCAUGCACGUAAUGUGAGAUGGCGGGAAGGCGGCGUGUGUUAAGCGCAGCCUGGUCGUCCUGCUGCAAGCUUUGUGGUAUGCCCUGCGGACCAAAACCGGUCGUGGCCGGUCCUGUAGUCAUCCGGAUGACGUCAACGAUGCUAGCGCCGUGGGAUACACUAGGCACACGGACACACACGCCAACACACUAGGAUUAGGAACAACAUUCGGAUAAGUAGAAUCUUAGAUUUAAGUGUAAAUGGGGUUAAAAGGGAGUUAAAUACAAUAAAUUUGGAUCAUGAUUGCCAU
Long non-coding RNA from Armigeres subalbatus, 512 nucleotides. RefSeq lists it as uncharacterized. The record is from RefSeq and is a predicted model, not a curated record. The transcript is spliced from 3 exons. NCBI's taxonomy places the organism in Eukaryota, Metazoa, Arthropoda, Insecta, Diptera, Culicidae.